AUGAAUGAUCUCCUCUUGGUGGAAGAAGCCGACGGUGUGUCCUACUUUCAUGUGUUGCUUGUGGCGAACAUGCAGAGAACAAAAUAUACGGUGCACGUAAAUAUGUUGCGACAUGGUGAUGGUGUGUGGCGCACGUAUCUUACCUUUGACAGAGACCAACUUCUUGAUCCGGAAUGGGAAUCAAAAGCUGUGCUCGCCAACAAUAAAAUCUACAUAGCGAGCACACAGAACAGCAUUGAUUUCUUUGAUUUGACUACCUCAAGCAUCUCCACGGUUCAGCUCCCACAUGGGGUGGAGUAUGGCGAUAGAGAUACCAUGUUGGCACCAGCUGAUGAUGCUUCUGAUGUGUAUCUCAUCCAUGCUAAGAAUCUUCAGCUUGACAUCUGGCUCCACAAGGGGGAUAACUGGUUGCUGGUGGACACCAUUUCUUUGCGUGACAUGGUUGCUAAUUUGAGGAUUCCAGGUUGCGAGGUUGAGGAUGAGCCCACUGCUCCUCUCUGGAUAAACCAUGUGGGGUCCUAUGCUGAGUUUGUGUUCUUGGAGAUGGGCCGAUGCGCACUUCACUUAGAUGUCAAGUGUAGGCAGUUGCGUAAAGUGUAUGAUAUGACAGAAGAAGAACUAGAUUUGGGUGAUAUCCAUCCUCUUACAAUGAUUUGGCCGCCCAUAUUCCCUGCUCUCACUGAUAACCUUGCAAGGAAUGCCAUGUGA
This 708-nucleotide ribosomal RNA is filed under the name Triticum aestivum (bread wheat). RNAcentral's name for it is "partial small subunit ribosomal RNA". Lineage: Eukaryota; Viridiplantae; Streptophyta; Magnoliopsida; Poales; Poaceae. The record is from RNAcentral.